GACUCCGUAGCUCACUUGGUAGAGCGCUUGCCGUGUUUCGGUAUGGUGUUUCUGUCGCUGGUUCGAAUGCAGCCGAAGUCC
Paragonimus heterotremus is the source of this 81-nucleotide non-coding RNA. The record is from the annotation of a GenBank genome assembly. Lineage: Eukaryota; Metazoa; Platyhelminthes; Trematoda; Plagiorchiida; Troglotrematidae.